Molecule: ribosomal RNA, 497 nt
Filed under: uncultured bacterium
Lineage: Bacteria
Description: partial 16S ribosomal RNA
Rfam family: Bacterial small subunit ribosomal RNA
Source: RNAcentral
GAUGAACGCUGGCGGCGUGCCUAAUACAUGCAAGUAGAACGCUGAAGGAAGGAGCUUGCUCUUUCCGGAUGAGUUGCGAACGGGUGAGUAACGCGUAGGUAACCUGCCUGGUAGCGGGGGAUAACUAUUGGAAACGAUAGCUAAUACCGCAUAACAGUAGAUGCUGCAUGAUAUCUACUUAAAAGGUGCAAUUGCACCACUACCAGAUGGACCUGCGUUGUAUUAGCUAGUUGGUGAGGUAACGGCUCACCAAGGCGACGAUACAUAGCCGACCUGAGAGGGUGAUCGGCCACACUGGGACUGAGACACGGCCCAGACUCCUACGGGAGGCAGCAGUAGGGAAUCUUCGGCAAUGGACGGAAGUCUGACCGAGCAACGCCGCGUGAGUGAAGAAGGUUUUCGGAUCGUAAAGCUCUGUUGUAAGAGAAGAACGAGUGUGAGAGUGGAAAGUUCACACUGUGACGGUAGCUUACCAGAAAGGGACGGCUAACUACGUG